GCAGAGUAGGGGCCCGCGCGUACAGUGCCUGACCAACGGGGAGUUGUGGCAGGACGAAGUGGCCGGCCUGGCCGGCCCGCGGUGCGUGCCCCGCAUCCCACUGC
Molecule: non-coding RNA, 104 nt
Filed under: uncultured Gemmiger sp.
Lineage: Bacteria; Bacillati; Bacillota; Clostridia; Eubacteriales; Oscillospiraceae
Description: THF riboswitch
Rfam family: THF (Tetrahydrofolate) riboswitch aptamer
About the family: THF riboswitch presents a pseudoknot that joins P1-P2 and the loop of P3 and two THF binding.
Source: RNAcentral